AUUGAACGCUGGCGGCAGGCCUAACACAUGCAAGUCGAACGGUAACAGAAAGCAGCUUGCUGCUUUGCUGACGAGUGGCGGACGGGUGAGUAAUGUCUGGGAAACUGCCCGAUGGAGGGGGAUAACUACUGGAAACGGUAGCUAAUACCGCAUAACGUCGCAAGACCAAAGAGGGGGACCUUCGGGCCUCUUGCCAUCGGAUGUGCCCAGAUGGGAUUAGCUAGUAGGUGGGGUAAAGGCUCACCUAGGCGACGAUCCCUAGCUGGUCUGAGAGGAUGACCAGCCACACUGGAACUGAGACACGGUCCAGACUCCUACGGGAGGCAGCAGUGGGGAAUAUUGCACAAUGGGCGCAAGCCUGAUGCAGCCAUGCCGCGUGUAUGAAGAAGGCCUUCGGGUUGUAAAGUACUUUCAGCGGGGAGGAAGGGAGUAAAGUUAAUACCUUUGCUCAUUGACGUUACCCGCAGAAGAAGCACCGGCUAACUCCGUGCCAGCAGCCGCGGUAGUACGGAGGGUGCAAGCGUUAAUCGGAAUUACUGGGCGUAAAGCGCACGCAGGCGGUUUGUUAAGUCAGAUGUGAAAUCCCCGGGCUCAACCUGGGAACUGCAUCUGAUACUGGCAAGCUUGAGUCUCGUAGAGGGGGGUAGAAUUCCAGGUGUAGCGGUGAAAUGCGUAGAGAUCUGGAGGAAUACCGGUGGCGAAGGCGGCCCCCUGGACGAAGACUGACGCUCAGGUGCGAAAGCGUGGGGAGCAAACAGGAUUAGAUACCCUGGUAGUCCACGCCGUAAACGAUGUCGACUUGGAGGUUGUGCCCUUGAGGCGUGGCUUCCGGAGCUAACGCGUUAAGUCGACCGCCUGGGGAGUACGGCCGCAAGGUUAAAACUCAAAUGAAUUGACGGGGGCCCGCACAAGCGGUGGAGCAUGUGGUUUAAUUCGAUGCAACGCGAAGAACCUUACCUGGUCUUGACAUCCACGGAAGUUUUCAGAGAUGAGAAUGUGCCUUCGGGAACCGUGAGACAGGUGCUGCAUGGCUGUCGUCAGCUCGUGUUGUGAAAUGUUGGGUUAAGUCCCGCAACGAGCGCAACCCUUAUCCUUUGUUGCCAGCGGUCCGGCCGGGAACUCAAAGGAGACUGCCAGUGAUAAACUGGAGGAAGGUGGGGAUGACGUCAAGUCAUCAUGGCCCUUACGACCAGGGCUACACACGUGCUACAAUGGCGCAUACAAAGAGAAGCGACCUCGCGAGAGCAAGCGGACCUCAUAAAGUGCGUCGUAGUCCGGAUUGGAGUCUGCAACUCGACUCCAUGAAGUCGGAAUCGCUAGUAAUCGUGGAUCAGAAUGCCACGGUGAAUACGUUCCCGGGCCU
Molecule: ribosomal RNA, 1363 nt
Filed under: uncultured bacterium
Lineage: Bacteria
Description: bacterial SSU rRNA
Rfam family: Bacterial small subunit ribosomal RNA
Source: RNAcentral